CUGUGUGGGAACCGAGCCGCCCAGCUCUGCUCUGCCACACAGCUCCGUGCCCACUGCCACUGCAGCGGUGCAGAGGAGCAGCACUGCUUCACUUCUGCCUUUGAAACCACAGCAAGCACGAUGCAAACCAAACCACGGGUACCGAAGAUGUCCAAAGAGGCAGGCUGACUCUCCUGCCCUCGAAGACAGGUUUGGCUCCACGAGCAGAAGUGUCAUGCCACAUUAUCAUCUUGCCGGCUCACACACUCCUGCCUGACAAGUUCUCUCUGCCCCUUGUGACAACCAUUCCAGGCUUAUGCUGUUUAUUUUUGGUGUCAGGCUGGCCCUGGCAGAUUGAAAGGCAACCUCAACCCCUUGAACAACAAGCACCACACCCCACUUGGCGAUAAGAGAUGAUUUGAGAAGAUAUUUGCUUACAUGUGUAUAAGCAAUUUGCUGUAUGAUGAAGCCCCGGUGUGCCUGUGUGAACGCACACGUAUGUGUGCAAAGGGGAAGGAACUGCAGAAGCGUAACAUUUCAUGAGAAAACAAACAAUUCAUUGCGGAUCCCAGGUAGCAGGCUUCAAUCAUCACAUCCCAUCGUACACACAGAACGUGAAACGUGGGCCACAAAGGCACCACGGGUGCUCCCCACAAAGAGAAACAACAGCUAAGCUCGGUCUGUCCCUGCAAAACAGCCUCGCUGUGUCCCUGCAGAGCGCUGUGAGAUGCAGCGGCAGAGGCACCCCAUAGGAGGAAUGGGGACAAAACACGACAGUUCACUGCAGAAACACGCUAGGGCCAGAUUCAUCUCUGCUGUCAUGGAGUCAAUUUGGAACAGCACUGUUGUCAUUGAAUUACUUGGGACUGCCUGCAAUUGGAAUCACAGAACCUUGUCUUCAAGUAGCAGGCUGCGUGCAUCAUGGAGACUUCCUUUUAACUAUCCAAUUUUUACAGCCUGUACAUAAGCAGGACUAUGUCUACAGCUAGGGUUUCUUGGUGUAAGCAC
RNAcentral lists this long non-coding RNA (987 nucleotides) under Gallus gallus (chicken). RNAcentral's name for it is "long non-coding RNA NONGGAT003569". The record is from RNAcentral. Lineage: Eukaryota; Metazoa; Chordata; Aves; Galliformes; Phasianidae.